Molecule: non-coding RNA, 1479 nt
Organism: Chiloscyllium plagiosum (whitespotted bambooshark)
Lineage: Eukaryota; Metazoa; Chordata; Chondrichthyes; Orectolobiformes; Hemiscylliidae
Source: RefSeq, a predicted model, not a curated record
UCAACAUUUUUGCAAGUUCAGCUUUAAGGCCGACCACAAAGGCUGAUUUUAAUGUGACAAGUACCUGCUGUUCUGUAUCAUUCGACCUAUUGUCACGAGCAAACCCUGAGUGUGCCAUCCAAACAUAUAUAAAAUGCUCCACAAAGUCCCUAAUGUCUUCAGUGCGUUUUUGUUGGUAGGCAGUUAUUUUGUUCCAAUCUGUUCUAGAAGGGCUGUAAUCACAGACCCACUUGCGAAUAGAAUGACACAUGUCUCCUAAUUUCUGUUCAUUUUCUCCUAACUGUGCUGCUACUCGAGUGAGAAGUUUAUUUCAUGUAUUUGAUCCCACCGUGACAGUCAGACUGGGUGCAUGGCCACAGGGGGUUCCUUAUUAGUAUCGGAAUCAUCAUUGUUCCCCAAGGACGAUUCUGAAUUACCUUUAAGAGAAGGUGCACUUGGAGUAUGAAUGAGACAUAAAGAUAUAGCAGGAGACAUCAUUUCAAUGUGAUUGUGAGUGAAGAAAGCUACUUCAAGUCGGAUAUCUAAACAAAAAGCAGGACACCAUAAAAGAAAUUUAAACACAGGCAAAAGAACAACGUGAUAAAAAGUGAUAGCAGGACCCUGACAAAGACCUGCACAAUGCAUUUUUUGUGAUCAUCAAAAAGCUGGACAUGCAAGCAGUGGAAUCAUUCUCUGGCCAGGAAAAAAUAUCAAUAUGGUGAUGGAGGCUGGGAGAACACAGCAAGCCCAGCAGCGACAGGAGGUGGAGAAGUCAAUGUUUUGGGAGUAACCCUUCUUCAGGGCCCAGCAUCUGCAGGUUUUUUUAAUCUCUAAGAUGGUGAUGGAAGCAUAUAAUGUGGAUGUCGUCUGUGGAAGCUUGAAUUCCGGAGAAAUCUGCAAUUUGUUUUCUACUUCACUCAGUCCUUUUAUAAAUCAGAUGCAAGCAUUCAUCGUGGAAUAUAGUAUGAAGCUUAUUGGCCGUUUGGAUUUAGCAACGCACAACAAACACUGAGCUGUCACCAAAAUUAGCUGUGCUGCCUGUUUUGUGAAAGCUAAUUGUCUGUGAUGUUGACAAACACAAGCAGUGAGGGUCCAGUUAUGGUUGCAGCUAGUAAGAGUUCUGACAACCUCCUUGGUGAAGUGCAGCCAUCUUUUUUUUUGAGUGAAGUUGAAUUGAGUCCUGAUCUGAAGAUCUAACAUGGAUAUGUCCUCCUGCACAAUGUUGUCUGAUUCUGAGCUGCUACUCCUUUCUCUAUCUUCAUUACUUCCCAAUUGCCCUGCCAGAUCAUCCACAAUCUCAAUUGAAUCGUUGAAAAAAAAUCUUCCAGAGCCAGCACAAAGAUGUGAAGACAGGUCUGAAUGUACAUGUUAAACAAUAAAAGUAGUUGGAGGACAAAGGCCAAAAAGUCAACCAGCAAGCUAAGACAACAUGCUACCAAUAACUAACCCAUAUGAGUGGAUGCACUGUUUGAGUAGAGCUCCCAAAGUCUCCUGUUGCCU